Molecule: long non-coding RNA, 1999 nt
Organism: Erigeron canadensis
Lineage: Eukaryota; Viridiplantae; Streptophyta; Magnoliopsida; Asterales; Asteraceae
Exons: 2
Source: RefSeq, a predicted model, not a curated record
CAUACAAAUCAUAUCUUAAAGAACCAAACAUCACAAGUUCCACCAAAUAAGAAAAAUCUAAAAAAGUAAUAAUGAAUCACAUAGAUCCAAAAGAAGAAAGAAUUUGUAUUAUAAAGAUUGUCACAAAAGUUGGAUGAACUUUAUUCUACUGCUCAAUCCCAACUCUUUGUUUUUUAAGAUCUUCGUCAUCCACUUCAAUAAUGUCAUGAAUAAACUGAUUUCAACAACAAUUUCAUCAUCCCCUUCCUCACCACCACCACAAACCACAACUUCCACCAUCACCUUAAUAAAAAGAAUUCAAUAUAAUACACACACAUAGAUCUAGUUUAGAUCCACAAAUCAAUGAAAAAAGAAAAAUGGUGGCCGCGGUGGUGGUUGUAGGGCUGGAUCUUGGUUGUAAUGGUGAUGGGUAGCCAGUCUUGGUGGCUAAUGGGUUGUUAAUGUAUACUAAUCAUAAUAGUGAGGAUGUCGGGGUGCUUUAAUGAUUGAGCUUUUAAGUGAGUUGAUGCUUAUAUUACCAUGAUUAUCUUGUGUUUAUUUUUAAAUUUAUUUUAGGGUAAAUUACAAAAAUCAUACCCGAGUUUUGUUCAAAACUACACUGAUCAUACCUACAAUUCAAAAAUUACGCGAGACAUACCUAUCCUUGUUUAAAACCCACACUGCCAGUACCUAAUCCUAACAAAGCAUGACGGAUCGUUAAAAGGGGGUCACAUGCCAGUCACAUGAGGGGGUAAAACGGUCUUUUCCUACAACUUCUUCUUCCUCAUAUGUUGCUCCAUCAAACAAUCAAACUCUAUGUUUAUCAUAUAUAUAUAUAUAUAUAUAGGAAUUCAAAUGGAUCUUUCGAUCUUCAACUAAAACAUCUAUACAAAAAGAUCACAAAAUUUUAAAAUAAUCAAAACCCAUACCUGUUAUAAAGAAAAUCUAUACCUAUAUUUAUAUCAAUCUUUAUAUCAUUCUCUAUACCAUUGAAAUCAUAACACUAAAUCAAAAAAAAAAAACCCAAAUCUAUACUAUCAAAAACAGCAAGUCAGCAAUAAUAACAAUUUUAGAUGAUUUCCAAAUCCAAAUCUAUACUCGAUCAAAUCAAACCAAAAAUCAAAACCCCACAACCACCGAUGCGCCGCCGCAAACCACCACACCAGGUGUAGAUGGCAGGGAAGGGGGAGGUAUAACACCACCACCGCCAAUGACCCGACCACCUUCAUUGGCUAGAUCUGUUAUUAAAGCACCACCACUAGCCGAAUCUAUUAUUAAACCACCAGCAUAACUAGAGCUGCUUUAUUUAAUGCCUCUUUUAGUGGAUUUCAUUGGAUUUUUUGUGUUUUCAUACCAUCACACACACAUAUACAACCGCAUAUAUAACAUAUAUAUAUAUAUAUAUAGAGAGAGAGAGAGAGAGUAAGAAAGAGAUAUAUAUAUAUAUAUAUGUAUACAUAUAUAUAGAUAUAGAUAUAGAAAGCGGGAGAGUGUUAGAAGUGCAGAUAUGUAUAAUAUGGAUUUAGGUAUGAUAUAAAUUUGAUAUAUACAUAUUGAUGUGGUGUAUGGAUGGAUUAAUGAUUUAGAUUAUUUGGGUUUGGAGUUAGAAGAAAAAUAAAGGAUGAUAAAGUAUUAAUAAUCUGCCAAGGAAGAUGAUGAUAUAGGGGCAAAAGAGUCUUUUACCCCCUCACGUGACUGGCAUGUGACCCCCAUUUAACGAUCCAUCAUGCUCUGUUAGGGUUAGGUAUAGUCCGUGUGGGUUUUAGACAAUGAUAGAUAUGUCUUGCGUAAUUUUUGAAAAUUGUAGGUAUGAUCAGUGUAGUUUUGAACAAACCUCAGGUAUGAUUUUUGUAAUUUACCCUUUAUUUUAUUAAAUACAUACAAUCCUAUAUGUAUGCAUCGCUAAAUCUAAUUGUUGUAUGCUUAUGACUAUUGAAAUUAUUGUGGUCAGAAAGCUGUUUUAUGUAUGAUGAUAAGGCUUCAAUAAGUCUAUUAUAUCUAUAUUUCUCCUUUUCAGUUC